ACGGAAGGCAGCAGUGGGGGAUAUUGCACAAUGGGGGAAACCCUGAUGCAGCGACGCCGCGUGAGUGAAGAAGUAUUUCGGUAUGUAAAGCUCUAUCAGCAGGGAAGAAAGACUCGUAAGAGAGAUGACGGUACCUGACUAAGAAGCCCCGGCUAACUACGUGCCAGCAGCCGCGGUAAUACGUAGGGGGCAAGCGUUAUCCGGAUUUACUGGGUGUAAAGGGAGCGUAGACGGAUCGGCAAGUCAGAUGUGAAACCCCGGGGCUUAACCCCGGGACUGCAUUUGAAACUGCGGUGCUAGAGUGCGGGAGAGGUAAGCGGAAUUCCUAGUGUAGCGGUGAAAUGCGUAGAUAUUAGGAAGAACACCAGCGGCGAAGGCGGCUUACUGGACCGUAACUGACGCUGAGGCUCGAAAGCGUGGGGAGCAAACAGGAUUAGAUACCCUGGUA
RNAcentral lists this ribosomal RNA (448 nucleotides) under uncultured Lachnospiraceae bacterium. RNAcentral describes it as "bacterial SSU rRNA". It matches the Rfam family "Bacterial small subunit ribosomal RNA", at positions 341 to 792 of the family's 1533-position model. The record is from RNAcentral. Lineage: Bacteria; Bacillati; Bacillota; Clostridia; Lachnospirales; Lachnospiraceae.